This 177-nucleotide unclassified non-coding RNA is filed under the name uncultured fungus. Its description in RNAcentral is "sequence contains ITS1". Lineage: Eukaryota; Fungi. The record is from RNAcentral.
GUAUUUUGGAUUAUUUUAUUCAUAAUGUUUUUCAGACAAAGAGUUAAAGAAUAAGUUGAUGUUUGGUCGUUCCCAUAGAAGAGAACGACUGACAUUGCACACAAGGUGGAUAUGGAUUUAAAAAGUGCCAUAAAACACUUAUUAUGAAUGAUCCUUCCGCAGGUUCACCUACGGAAA